UGGGGGCUGCGAUGGAGGAGUGGGCUCUGCUGGAUGAGAGGCAGAGGGAGCUCUACCGGGACGUCAUGCAGGAGAACUAUGGGGACGCCAUUUCACUGGCAAAAUGGGAAGGGAAGAGGGAAACCCCCCGAAGUAUGAAAAGUGAACGUUUAAAAAUUGUAUGCGGUAUUGUAGCUGGGUCAAAGAAGACUCUGUCUCUCUCUCUCUCAACAAUAGAAGUGGGUCCAAUGAAAGAUAUCAUCUCAUUUUACCGUUGGGAAUUUUAAUGGAAAUUUAAAACAUCUUUUUUAUUUAAAACAAAACUGAAAACAUUUAAAUGGAGUCUGUUUUUCAAGCUUCCUGUCCAGCCCUUUCUUCCUGUGGAAAAUUGAAAAAGGAUUUCCCGUCCCC
Molecule: non-coding RNA, 390 nt
Organism: Chelonoidis abingdonii (Abingdon island giant tortoise)
Lineage: Eukaryota; Metazoa; Chordata; Testudines; Testudinidae
Source: RefSeq, a predicted model, not a curated record